Molecule: ribosomal RNA, 477 nt
Filed under: uncultured bacterium
Lineage: Bacteria
Description: partial 16S ribosomal RNA
Rfam family: Bacterial small subunit ribosomal RNA
Source: RNAcentral
GAUUAACGCUGGCGGCGUGCAUAGCACAUGCAAGUCGAACGAUGAAACUUAGUAGACUUCUUCGGAAAGACACUAAGCGGCUUAGUGGCGAACGGGUGAGUAACGCGUGAGUAACCUGCCUUACACAAGGGGAUAGCCUUUGGAAACGAAGAAUAAUACCCUAUAAAACCAUAAAAGCACAUGCUAGAAUGGUCAAAGUGAUAGCGGUGUAAGAUGGACUUGCGUCUGAUUAGCUAGUUGGUGAGAUAAAAGCUCACCAAGGCAACGAUCAGUAGCCGGCUUGAGAGAGUGUACGGCCACAUUGGGACUGAGACACGGCCCAGACUCCUACGGGAGGCAGCAGUGGGGAAUUUUGCACAAUGGGGGAAACCCUGAUGCAGCGACGCCGCGUGAUUUAGAAGGCCUUCGGGUUGUAAAAAUCUUUUGUAUAGGAAGAAAAUGACAGUACUAUACGAAUAAGGUCCGGCUAAUUACGUG